AACGCUUCAGGGCAAUUUUUGCUCGGAUCAAGUGUAGUAAAUGUUUAGAUUAGUGUAAUAUCUAAUCGCCACUCUUCGGAGUGGCCGAUAUUACUCUACUAUUUGGGACUGGUGGUGCGGCGUCUGCUUGCAGCGCCCACCACAAGCAUGGCCCUGGUAUUGCACUACCUCCAGGAGCUGUGCACGGCAC
This is a small nuclear RNA of Salpingoeca sp., 190 nucleotides long. It matches the Rfam family "U2 spliceosomal RNA". From Rfam's summary of the family: U2 is a small nuclear RNA (snRNA) component of the spliceosome (involved in pre-mRNA splicing). The record is from Rfam. NCBI's taxonomy places the organism in Eukaryota, Choanoflagellata, Craspedida, Salpingoecidae.